AUUGUAACCCUACUGAGACAUGACUACUGGCAACGCGGUGACGUGUUGCGUUUUUAAUUUUGUUUUUACACGAGAAAGCAUUAAGUUUACCUGUCGGAGAGCAGCUGGCAAACAACAAACGAUAAAGGACAUUCCUACUUGGUCUUUGAACACACUCAGAAGAAUUGGAGAAACUGAGGAGGAAUUUCAACAUCUGGAAAAGUGGUUGGAAAUUGAGAAGAUCCGGGCAGCAAUGGUGUCAAAGUUGUGCAGAAUUGAAGGAAGAAACCUCAAAGACAGUGCCAGAAGGAUGCUGGACAGGUAAAGCCUACAAAACGUGCA
This is a long non-coding RNA of Sinocyclocheilus anshuiensis, 321 nucleotides long. RefSeq lists it as uncharacterized. The record is from RefSeq and is a predicted model, not a curated record. Lineage: Eukaryota; Metazoa; Chordata; Actinopteri; Cypriniformes; Cyprinidae. The transcript has 3 exons.